This 253-nucleotide ribosomal RNA is filed under the name uncultured bacterium. Its description in RNAcentral is "partial 16S ribosomal RNA". It matches the Rfam family "Bacterial small subunit ribosomal RNA", at positions 524 to 776 of the family's 1533-position model. The record is from RNAcentral.
UACGUAGGGCGCAAGCGUUAUCCGGAAUUAUUGGGCGUAAAGAGCUCGUAGGCGGUUUGUCGCGUCUGCCGUGAAAGUCCGGGGCUCAACUCCGGAUCUGCGGUGGGUACGGGCAGACUAGAGUGAUGUAGGGGAGACUGGAAUUCCUGGUGUAGCGGUGGAAUGCGUAGAGAUCCGGAAGAACACCGGUGGCGAAGGCGGUCUGCUGGGCCAAGACUGACGCUGAGGCGCGACAGCGUGGGGAGCAAACAGG